Molecule: ribosomal RNA, 497 nt
Filed under: uncultured bacterium
Lineage: Bacteria
Description: partial 16S ribosomal RNA
Rfam family: Bacterial small subunit ribosomal RNA
Source: RNAcentral
GACGAACGCUGGCGGCGUGCCUAAUACAUGCAAGUUGAGCGCUGAAGGUUGGUACUUGUACCAACUGGAUGAGCAGCGAACGGGUGAGUAACGCGUGGGGAAUCUGCCUUUGAGCGGGGGACAACAUUUGGAAACGAAUGCUAAUACCGCAUAAAAACUUUAAACACAAGUUUUAAGUUUGAAAGAUGCAAUUGCAUCACUCAAAGAUGAUCCCGCGUUGUAUUAGCUAGUUGGUGAGGUAAAGGCUCACCCAGGGGAUGAUACAUAGCCGACCUGAGAGGGUGAGCGGCCACAUUGGGACUGAGACACGGCCCAAACUCCUACGGGAGGCAGCAGUAGGGAAGCUUCGGCAAUGGACGAAAGUCUGACCGAGCAACGCCGAGUGAGUGAAGAAGGUUUUCGGAUCGUAAAACUCUGUUGGUAGAGAAGAACGUUGGUGAGAGUGGAAAGCUCAUCAAGUGACGGUAACUACCCAGAAAGGGACGGCUAACUACGUG